Molecule: non-coding RNA, 3611 nt
Organism: Lolium perenne
Lineage: Eukaryota; Viridiplantae; Streptophyta; Magnoliopsida; Poales; Poaceae
Source: RefSeq, a predicted model, not a curated record
AGCGCCUCGUGCCCGGCGUCCGUAGUCGCCGCAGCUCCCCUUGCUGGCCUCUUUCAUCUCCGACAGCGGUGGCAGGAGUCGGAUGCCGCUCCGGCGCAGCUGUCUCCAAGGGGCUCCGGCUCUCCGGUGAGAGAUCCUCACCUGGACGACGCCCCGCUUUCUCCAUGGUCUCCGUGCAUCGGCUCUUCGCAGCGGAGCCCGCUGCAGCAAGCCCGCCGACCCGGCCCUGGAGCUCGACGACGCCGAUGCCAUAUGGAGCGGAGGAGGCAUCCUCGCCGGUCGACGUGUAUGGACGCGCUCUGUCCAUGUUCACGCCCGCCUCCAGGGCUGCGCGCCGCCGCACUGUGGGAGGCCGUCGGUGGCGUUCGAGUUGGCGGACCGCGUAUGCCCGUGAACAUCCCGGACUGCAUAUGGCCGGUCCCCACUGCCGCUGAUCUCGAGCGCGUUGUCGGUGGCUGCUGCGGCGGUGUCCGUGCGUUACGCGUCGAGCUUGUGCCUGCAGGCGGCACAACUGCUGGUGGAUGGCGGUCGCUGGAUAGGGCUCUCAAAAAUGGUCAAGCUGUUCGCUCCCACAGGACACCCAAACUAGGCAAAAUUUACCUGGUUGCAGUAGCAGGAGGUGCCAAGGCUGGCGUUCACGCCGCAUCGAGCCAAGCAGCCAACAUAGAUUUUAAAGUCUGUUUAUGCAAUUCUAUGUGAUAAUGCACCAAAUUCUUUCCUGAUUUGCUUCGAGGCACUCAUGCCACAAUGAUACAUUGAUUGCUGCUACUGACCACUCAUUAUUUGAUGAAGGUGUAGUGCCAGGGAAUAAGCUUUAGGCUAUGCAUACUUUGGAAUGGUUGUGGCAGUGCAUCGGAUUGCCAGAGGUAUAGCACCAUGCCUGCUUCAAGCAACCAAUCGGUACCUGGAGUACCAAAUAAAGGUUCUCUAUGAGUGUGCCUGCUGUUGCGUCGUCGGCGGGUCCGUCCUGCUUCUUCGCUUCCUCCAGUUUUGCAGUGUUGUCAUGGCUUUGAAGAUGCAACUGCUGUGUCGCCGCUUUACCAUGCUGAUGAUACACGUCGAUCCGAGGCAGGUGAUAAUUAUAAUACUGCUGCUGAUUUUAAGAUAGAUUUUGUGUUCACAUGGUAACACAAACGUAGAUAGAUUCCAGUAUUCACAUUUGCUUUUAACGUCUCUUAUUCAAUGCUUAUUCUUAAUAACGCCAAAAUCGAAAUGCUGUCUAAACUAAAUUCCCUGACAUUUAUAUCUUGUUUAGGGACAUAUCUUGGAUAUGACGAUAUCAUAGAGUGACGAAGUUGGUGUUAGCAUCAGGAUUGUCUCAUGGUAUUUUCGAUGUGAAUCCAACAGUUGAAUACUAAUUGGAACGUUUAGGUGUACAUUCCUUAUACAAAAUUGCACAAAAUGGUACAUAGUCUCCUGAAAUUUUACAAGCAUAAUAAAUCUAAAUAUGAGAUAUUUUGUCCUUUUUCUUUUUUAUGUGCUCUUCCACAUUUCUAAUUUUGAAAAUUGCUAAGUAUUAUUUUAGCUUUAAUGCCAACUGCAUCCUUAUUCAUACCAUUCUUAGUAUUACCAGAUUCAGGAUUCUGUGUUUGGUUUCAUAAGGUCUCAUGACGUUGGUGCUUUGUUUUUACAAUAGAAGUACAUCAAGGUGUUGUGGUAGGAUAAUUAUCCUAACAUAGAGACCCUCUUUAAAGGAAUAAGGCAACCUUUAUUAUCGAGGCCCUACGUACACAAUUAUGGUAUGGAACUUUUUGUUUGCAGAAUGGUAGCAUGCUUAGCUCGAUGAAUUGCGAUCAAGGUUAUAGAAGACUUGAAUUGAUAAAAAUUUAUAAGCCAAGAAGAAACAUUAAGGUUAAAAUAUGUAUUCCAUAUGUGAAAACUAAAAAUCCUUGCACUCCUACUAUGUUGUGUUGUGAAAGCUUCAUGGCUUAACUCAUCAUUGUCUAAAUGUUCUAGCAGGGGGAUGCAUCUAAAUUUGCUGCGCACCUCAUCAUUAUCUAAAUGUUCUAGCAGGGGGAUGCAUCUAAAUUUACUGCGCACAGGUACUACAGACUAUAGAAGGAACGAUUGUACUGCAAGUGACCUUCGAUCAUUUUACUGAAAUUCUCUGGCGCCAGGUGUUGCCACAAAAUUCGACACUCCAUAAUGGCCUUCAUUCUUUUACUAGGUCUGUCCACUCAGCUUUGCUUCAUCAUCUGCUAUGUCAGUCUUUUUUAGUUAAGCUUAGUUGAACUUCUGACAGUUUUCGGCUUCCCUCGGACUCAAUCAGCUAGGAUUUCUAAAAAUUGCUCUCCAACUAGAUAAGUAGCCCUUUCUGUGGUACACAAAACUGCAUCUUUAAUAUAUUUAUUAAGUUACUUGGGUCAAUGCAUCAUGUGUGUAUGCCCUAACUAGAUAGCAGUACAUAAUUAUAUAUGGAAAAUAGUUUGUUAUCUAGCAGAUUAACUCUUCUAAGUACAUAUGGAUUUACCCAGGUUCCAUUGCAUAAUUCUCUUACUCUCCCUUAGCACAAGACCCCUCUUUCAAGAUGCAGGGUUUGAAAUGAAUUGAGACUCUUAAUAUUCUACUUGAUUCUAGCAGAAACUGAAGGCUUCCUACCAUGGUUGGGAUCUCCUAUCAUUGUUGGUUUGUUAUAUUUUGUUCCCAGAGUUACAUAUAGAGUUCAAUUUUCAUGUCUCAAGCACUGAAAUAAUUGGCAUGGGUGCAAACAACAAUUGCAUCCAGCAGCUGUGCAAUCAUGCAUUUUAGUACAGGAAAUAAUGAAGGAUUUACACCAAUUGGUCCAUUUGAGAACAAAACAACCCUGUCAGAAGAUGACAAAAAUCUACAAGCCAUACCUCAGAAAGAAAUCAUAGAACAAAUCCAUUUAGAGUUGGGAGAGAUAAACAAUAAUAACCAGAAAUUUAGUGCCGAGAAACUAUCUAAUGAAUUACUGUUUUCCCCACACAAGGAUACAAUCUCCAUAACAGAUGGCAAAAAAGGAAAGAAAAUCAAUACCAAGUGGUACAUCAACUAAAAAAAGGUAUGUGACUACUUAUUUCAUAUCAGUAUCACUAUUUACAACAGUAGUGCAAGCUUACGAAUCAUUCAUUGUCUGCAUAAAAUUCAUAAGAAGAAGGCCAGGAAAGAAUUAUUCUCGGCUAAAUAAAAAUAUUCACUUGGCCAGGUAAACAUACAUGACAUCUAUCAGUAAAUAAACUGAAUAUCAGGACAUAAUUUUAGCUUUUCUUUCUGGUAGCAAUUGUCUAAGUUUUGACUUUAUCAGGUCAAGCUGAUCUAAAUGAAAGAAAUAAAAGAUACUGGUCUCAAUGUAACAACCUUUACAUGGUAACAGUUACUGUGCAAAGCCCCUUACUAGAAAUAUAAUAUGUCUGUCUGCCACUGCCAAGCAUGGAUACUUCCUACAUGGUACAGUAUUAUGUAUAUGUGUAUCCAUGUAUAGUUAUCUUACUUAUCUCCAUUUGUUUAUCAGGGAUUACUACUAUGCUAUGUUUGCAGACGGAGGUUUCCUCACGCUUCACUCUUACAAGGUUUGCAUGAAAGGGCUGAUGGAAAAGAUAACCAAGUUGCCUCUUGAUUGAGAGCUGUGACGAACUGUUCAAGUGAUCCGA